This is a long non-coding RNA of Eucalyptus grandis, 264 nucleotides long. RefSeq lists it as uncharacterized. The transcript is spliced from 3 exons. The record is from RefSeq and is a predicted model, not a curated record. Lineage: Eukaryota; Viridiplantae; Streptophyta; Magnoliopsida; Myrtales; Myrtaceae.
ACCCUCCUCAGUUUCUCCAUAUAGUAUUCAUCAAGAAGUUGACUUGGAAAAUGGGCACGGCCUUCAAGAUCUGCAUGAGGCUGGCGGUGUGUUAUCUGGGCUUUUAUUGGUUCCUCUUGGCUGCCGCCGUUCCUGCAACCCGAAGCUUGAGAUCAAGCAACGAAAUCAAAUUACUACCGGAACUGGAAUCACUUUCUCUGGACGGUGUGGAGCUGAUGGAAGCAGGAGGGACUCACGAAGUGGAGGGAAGGAUGGACAUAGAGA